This 218-nucleotide unclassified non-coding RNA is filed under the name Hevea brasiliensis (rubber tree). The record is from RNAcentral. Lineage: Eukaryota; Viridiplantae; Streptophyta; Magnoliopsida; Malpighiales; Euphorbiaceae.
AUACAGCCUCUUGCUAAUGAACAUGCUUUCAACAUCAGAUUCAGGAAGAUGUCUCCAGGUAAUUGGCAGAAAUAAUUCACCAACAGAUGCAUAUAUGGUUGCCUUGCAGGAAUCAGGAAGAUCAGAUAAAUAUUUAAGAGAGAUGCAAUCCUGAGAUUUCGUCUCUUCAUGCACUUUCCAAUUAAUAGAUACUUGAUGGUUUUUCAAUUCAACACCAG